ACUAAAAGUGAUAUGAAUGAUAAUGCAGUGCAUCUGUUAUUAAACAUACCACAGCAAGAAUGAUGAACAGUAGAUAUUAAGAUAAAACAAGAUCAAAAGAAAAUAGCUGAAUACAUAUGUUUAAAGAUGCAAAGUCCAACAAUAAUGUUAUAAAAUAAAAAAAAAUCUUGCUUAAUACAAAUAAUAAUUAAUUGAUUAAACAAACCAAUGAAACUCUUAAUGUUGACUCUAUUCAGCAAAAUUACUCUUUUAUAAGUUCAGGGGCCACGAAAUCUACUGAUGGGAUUUUUGUACAUGCUGAUAAAAUUCUGAUAGAAACUAACAUUUUAAGUGAUAUUUUUUUGGAAAUAAAAACAAAGAACAUAA
Long non-coding RNA from Lucilia sericata (common green bottle fly), 366 nucleotides. RefSeq lists it as uncharacterized. NCBI's taxonomy places the organism in Eukaryota, Metazoa, Arthropoda, Insecta, Diptera, Calliphoridae. The transcript is spliced from 2 exons. The record is from RefSeq and is a predicted model, not a curated record.